GUCGGACAAGAAGAAUGUAAAGCCAACCAAAUAUCUAUACACUUAACAUGAAAACCAUGGUGACAUCUCGGCAAAACUCUCACUUUCUCACCAUCCAUAAAUUCGCCAAGACAAAUUGGACAAUCCGUUGCCGGAAUAUUAACUCCUGAUCCAUAAACUGUCACCGGAAGUUGCCUAAGCGUGCUCUUUUUCAGCCCUGUCGCAGCUAAGCGUGCAACCGUUGCAUUUUCUGACUCGAAAGCAAACCUCCGGCUACAACGCAAAGCUAAUUUCACAAUUGAAUUUAGACCAAGAGCACAUAUUAAUGCACAAAGUAGAGCUGCUAAAAUGAUCACCAUAUUAGUGUCGAAAUUUGCUUCGUUUGAGUAGCCAUGGUGUGGUUUGCUUAUAGUAGUGCUAGGUGGGACAACAGGACGGG
Molecule: long non-coding RNA, 418 nt
Filed under: Nicotiana tabacum (common tobacco)
Lineage: Eukaryota; Viridiplantae; Streptophyta; Magnoliopsida; Solanales; Solanaceae
Description: long non-coding RNA (NTAB_LNC009306)
Source: RNAcentral